Molecule: ribosomal RNA, 559 nt
Filed under: uncultured bacterium
Lineage: Bacteria
Description: partial 16S ribosomal RNA
Rfam family: Bacterial small subunit ribosomal RNA
Source: RNAcentral
UGGGGAAUAUUGCACAAUGGGCGCAAGCCUGAUGCAGCCAUGCCGCGUGUGUGAAGAAGGCCUUCGGGUUGUAAAGCACUUUUGUCCGGAAAGAAAUCCUUGGCUCUAAUACAGUCGGGGGAUGACGGUACCGGAAGAAUAAGCACCGGCUAACUACGUGCCAGCAGCCGCGGUAAUACGUAGGGUGCAAGCGUUAAUCGGAAUUACUGGGCGUAAAGCGUGCGCAGGCGGUUUGCUAAGACCGAUGUGAAAUCCCCGGGCUCAACCUGGGAACUGCAUUGGUGACUGGCAGGCUAGAGUAUGGCAGAGGGGGGUAGAAUUCCACGUGUAGCAGUGAAAUGCGUAGAGAUGUGGAGGAAUACCGAUGGCGAAGGCAGCCCCCUGGGCCAAUACUGACGCUCAUGCACGAAAGCGUGGGGAGCAAACAGGAUUAGAUACCCUGGUAGUCCACGCCCUAAACGAUGUCAACUAGUUGUUGGGGAUUCAUUUUCCUUAGUAACGUAGCUAACGCGUGAAGUUGACCGCCUGGGGAGUACGGUCGCAAGAUUAAAAGCUUAAA